This 449-nucleotide ribosomal RNA is filed under the name uncultured bacterium. Its description in RNAcentral is "bacterial SSU rRNA". It matches the Rfam family "Bacterial small subunit ribosomal RNA", at positions 354 to 796 of the family's 1533-position model. The record is from RNAcentral.
GUGAGGAAUAUUGCGCAAUGGGGGCAACCCUGACGCAGCAACGCCGCGUGGGUGAAGAAGGCCUUCGGGUUGUAAAGCCCUGUCGGGUGGGAAGAAACGUCCAUGGCUAAUAUCCAUGGAUCUGACGGUACCACCGAAGGAAGCACCGGCUAACUCCGUGCCAGCAGCCGCGGUAAGACGGAGGGUGCAAGCGUUGUUCGGAAUCACUGGGCGUAAAGCGGGUGUAGGCGGUUUGGUAAGUCGAAUGUGAAAGCCCAGGGCUCAACCCUGGAAGUGCAUUCGAAACUGCCAUACUUGAGUACGGGAGAGGGAAGUGGAAUUCCUGGUGUAGAGGUGAAAUUCGUAGAUAUCAGGAGGAACACCUGUGGCGAAGGCGGCUUCCUGGACCGAUACUGACGCUGAGACCCGAAAGCGUGGGGAGCAAACAGGAUUAGAUACCCUAGUAGUCC